RNAcentral lists this ribosomal RNA (744 nucleotides) under uncultured bacterium. RNAcentral describes it as "bacterial SSU rRNA". It matches the Rfam family "Bacterial small subunit ribosomal RNA", at positions 35 to 761 of the family's 1533-position model. The record is from RNAcentral.
GCUGGCGGCGUGCCUAAUACAUGCAAGUCGAGCGAACGGACGAGAAGCUUGCUUCUCUGAUGUUAGCGGCGGACGGGUGAGUAACACGUGGAUAACCUACCUAUAAGACUGGGAUAACUUCGGGAAACCGGAGCUAAUACCGGAUAAUAUUUUGAACCGCAUGGUUCAAAAGUGAAAGACGGUCUUGCUGUCACUUAUAGAUGGAUCCGCGCUGCAUUAGCUAGUUGGUAAGGUAACGGCUUACCAAGGCAACGAUGCAUAGCCGACCUGAGAGGGUGAUCGGCCACACUGGAACUGAGACACGGUCCAGACUCCUACGGGAGGCAGCAGUAGGGAAUCUUCCGCAAUGGGCGAAAGCCUGACGGAGCAACGCCGCGUGAGUGAUGAAGGUCUUCGGAUCGUAAAACUCUGUUAUUAGGGAAGAACAUAUGUGUAAGUAGCUGUGCACAUCUUGACGGUACCUAAUCAGAAGGCCACGGCUAACUACGUGCCAGCAGCCGCGGUAAUACGUAGGUGGCAAGCGUUAUCCGGAAUUAUUGGGCGUAAAGCGCGCGUAGGCGGUUUUUUAAGUCUGAUGUGAAAGCCCACGGCUCAACCGUGGAGGGUCAUUGGAAACUGGAAAACUUGAGUGCAGAAGAGGAAAGUGGAAUUCCAUGUGUAGCGGUGAAAUGCGCAGAGAUAUGGAGGAACACCAGUGGCGAAGGCGACUUUCUGGUCUGUAACUGACGCUGAUGUGCGAAAGCG